GACGUAUCAGUCAAGGUUUAGCCGGUCCUUAGCAGAGCCAGUCCUUCCAGAAGCUUCUCUGCCUACUGGUCCUCAUCCACAAGAGACUCGUGGCUACAUCAGGAGAAGGCGAACAAAAGGAUCCAGCCCUACAGAGAAGGACGCCUAAGGAGGUCGGCUGUCAUUUCUCCCCGAGGCUGAAGUGCUGUCACUAUACAAGGGCCCUUUGAGUCUCGUGGAGAGCUGGUAAUUGGGCUCGGAAGAGGGAAACAGGAGAACUUUCAUUAGGACAUUAUUUACCGGUUUAUUAGCCUGAAGAAUCAUGCUUUGAUGGAAAGUGCCGACAACGCGCUCAUGGAAAUGGCAUCCCCCAUCGGCAAUCCCGUGGGCCUCUCUUGGGAUCCUCGGGAUAGCUCGGCCUGCAGUUAUGAUGGAGACAUCACCUAUGAAAGCCGUUAUUCUCUAUGCCAAACCUUCUAUCAUUAUCAGGGUCUAAGAGCUUAAUUGUGUUAUAAAGUGAAUUUUGAGACUCUGCCUUAAUUUUUCCACCAAUAGGCAAGUGGUCCAAUUGGAAAUAAGUACUGUUGACCUUUGAACAACAUGGGUUUGAACUGCACGGAUCCACUUAUAUGCGGCUUUUUGUCUUUUUUUUUUUUUUUUUUUUUUACUGGAAAAAGCUUUAUUGUUUCAUUUGGUCCACAGCUUGGGAGAGGACUCCAGGGUGGUUGAAAAGCUGCCAGUGGCUACAGAGAGACGUGUCAAGGAGCCUUGACACCAGGGGGAUGCCAGAGGGGACUUCAAGGAUCAGAGGCUCCUAUAUAUGCUCAAGGCUGAGCCUUUCCAAGAGAUACUCCACCAGCCCAGCCUGGGGGCCACCAGCCCAUGGAGGUGAGUCAGGUGGCGCCCGUCUUCUUGAUGAGUUUCACCUCCUUAUCCAGAAAGCAGUUCUCUGAAGCCACAGACGUGGGGGUCUGUGCGGGCAGACCCCUGGGUGUGCAGAUCCAAAGGCGUCUGGUUCAGUUUUCUCUAGGGCCGUGGCAGCUUCCCUGGCGUCCAAGGGUUUACUCCACUCAUCCUGGGACCACUUUGGUGCAUCCUGGAAGAGGGCACGGCUGCCAUGCUGGUUUUGCAUCUUCAAGAGAUGCCGGGUGCCCUGAGCUUUUCUUUGGCCAAAUGGAGGAAGAAGUGGCCCAUGGGCUCCUGAGCCCCAUCCCUGAGGUCAAAGCAGAAGCCUAGAAGGAGGGGCAGGAGGCCCACACAUGCGCGUUGACCAGGUGGUCCUGGAAGCAGAGGAUGCCUGAGAAAACGUGGUUCCAAAGGGUUCAGUGGGAAAAGAGGUCGGAGGAUGGUCAGGGGUUGGAAGAAGGGGCACCAUCAAAUCAGCACAUUGCACAUUUCUAAAACAUACACUUUUAUUUAUGGCUGAUGCUUCAAUAA
Long non-coding RNA from Herpailurus yagouaroundi (jaguarundi), 1416 nucleotides. RefSeq lists it as uncharacterized. The transcript is spliced from 3 exons. The record is from RefSeq and is a predicted model, not a curated record. Lineage: Eukaryota; Metazoa; Chordata; Mammalia; Carnivora; Felidae.